Molecule: ribosomal RNA, 378 nt
Filed under: uncultured eukaryote
Lineage: Eukaryota
Description: partial 18S ribosomal RNA
Rfam family: Eukaryotic small subunit ribosomal RNA
Source: RNAcentral
CAAUAGCGUAUAUUAAAGUUGUUGCGGUUAAAAAGCUCGUAGUUGGAUUUCUGUUGAGGGACGUCGGUCCGCACUAUGUGCGUGUAUCUGACUGUGCCUCGGCAUCCUCUCGAAUAUCGGUCUGCGCUUCAUUGCGUGGGUCGGACUUCGGGACUUUUACUUUGAGGAAAUUAGAGUGUUCACGGCAGGCAAGCGCCCUGAAUAUAUUAGCAUGGAAUAAUGAUAUAGGAUCUUGGUCCUAUUUUGUUGGUUUCUAGGGCUAAGAUAAUGAUUAAUAGGGACAAUUGGGGGCAUUCGUAUUAACGCGUCAGAGGUGGAAUUCUUGGAUUGCGUUACGACGAACUACUGCGAAAGCAUUUGCCAAGGAUGUUUNCAUUG